CCUACGGGAGGCUGCAGUGGGGAAUAUUGGACAAUGGGCGAAAGCCUGAUCCAGCCAUGCCGCGUGUGUGAAGAAGGCCUUCGGGUUGUAAAGCACUUUCAGUGGGGAAGAAAGCCUUGGGGCUAAUACCCUCGAGGAAGGACAUCACCCACAGAAGAAGCACCGGCUAACUCCGUGCCAGCAGCUGCGGUAAUACGGAGGGUGCGAGCGUUAAUCGGAAUUACUGGGCGUAAAGCGCGCGUAGGCGGUCUGAUAAGCCGGUUGUGAAAGCCCCGGGCUCAACCUGGGAACGGCAUCCGGAACUGUCAGGCUAGAGUGCAGGAGAGGAAGGUAGAAUUCCCGGUGUAGCGGUGAAAUGCGUAGAGAUCGGGAGGAAUACCAGUGGCGAAGGCGGCCUUCUGGACUGACACUGACGCUGAGGUGCGAAAGCGUGGGUAGCAAACAGGAUUAGAUACCCGUGUAGUC
This 465-nucleotide ribosomal RNA is filed under the name Vreelandella stevensii. Its description in RNAcentral is "partial 16S ribosomal RNA". It matches the Rfam family "Bacterial small subunit ribosomal RNA", at positions 338 to 795 of the family's 1533-position model. Lineage: Bacteria; Pseudomonadati; Pseudomonadota; Gammaproteobacteria; Oceanospirillales; Halomonadaceae. The record is from RNAcentral.